RNAcentral lists this ribosomal RNA (119 nucleotides) under Hordeum vulgare subsp. vulgare (domesticated barley). The record is from RNAcentral. Lineage: Eukaryota; Viridiplantae; Streptophyta; Magnoliopsida; Poales; Poaceae.
GGAUGCGAUCAUACCAGCACUAAAGCAGCGGAUCCCAUCAGAACUCCGAAGUUAAGCGCGCUUGGGCGAGAGUAUUACUAGGAUGGGUGACCUUCUGGGAAGUCCUCGUGUUGCAUUCC